RNAcentral lists this ribosomal RNA (353 nucleotides) under uncultured Sphingobacteriales bacterium. RNAcentral describes it as "bacterial SSU rRNA". It matches the Rfam family "Bacterial small subunit ribosomal RNA", at positions 1029 to 1382 of the family's 1533-position model. Lineage: Bacteria; Pseudomonadati; Bacteroidota; Sphingobacteriia; Sphingobacteriales. The record is from RNAcentral.
UAUUACAAGGUGCUGCAUGGUUGUCGUCAGCUCGUGCCGUGAGGUGUCGGGUUAAGUCCCAUAACGAGCGCAACCCUACCUUUAGUUGCCAUCAGGUUAAGCUGGGGACUCUAAAGGAACUGCCUACGCAAGUAGUGAGGAAGGCGGGGAUGACGUCAAAUCAGCACGGCCCUUACGUCCAGGGCUACACACGUGCUACAAUGGCCGAUACAGAGGGCAGCUACCUGGUGACAGGAUGCAAAUCUCCAAAGUCGGUCUCAGUUCGGAUCGGAGUCUGCAACCCGACUCCGUGAAGUUGGAUUCGCUAGUAAUCGCGCAUCAGCCAUGGCGCGGUGAAUACGUUCCCAGGCCUU